Molecule: long non-coding RNA, 1085 nt
Filed under: Homo sapiens (human)
Lineage: Eukaryota; Metazoa; Chordata; Mammalia; Primates; Hominidae
Description: HSALNT0161786
Source: RNAcentral
UUCAGAGUGGACCACAGCCUGAUGACCCCUGCUUUCAAGAAGGACCAUCCCAUCUUAAACAACAGCUCCAUGAAUACAACCCUCCCUGGGAGUGCAGUGAGGCCAUUUUUACCAGGCUGCCUGUAAGGAUGGGGUGGAGGAUUGGAUCUAUGGAUUAACAUUCCCUUUGGGGACGCAUCGCGGGCAGAUGAGAAAUUCCCGACAGCUUGAUGGUCAGGGUCUCCAUUACCCAUAUAUCAAGGAGAGGAAGACGGAUUCCCCACGCCGACUGCCUGCCCAGCCUCCCUGCCGACAGCCACCGCUGAAGGGCGGUUGAUGGAGGUUGUGACUGUCCCUGUGACCACCCUCCUGAGGCCCUAAAGCACAGGAGAACUCCAGGCAGAAACAGAUGCGGGGUAAUGUAGCCCCCCUCAGCCCCAGCUCCUCUGGGAGGGGCUGUUUUGUAAAUCACUGCCAGCCCCGCUCCUCCUGGCAGGUAAGAUUGAGGCAGCAGGGAUGUGCCCCGAGAAACAGAGCUGGUGGAGAGGUUUGAGGGGGCAUGUGGGUGACUGCCUGUCCCCACCAAGGGGCAGGGGCUGCCUUUCUAUCUGGGUCGGCAGACAGCCAGGCUGCCCCCAGGGAAGGCAGGGGUGGCGCCUGGGGUGGAUGCUGGCAUUGGAAUGCCCAGGUAAAACCCUGACUCCAUCCAUGUUAUUUAUCCUCUCUGAGUCUUCACUCUGUCGUCCAUGAGACAGGGGUGAUUGUAUGUGAGGAGGAAACCCAUGUGCCUGAGAACAGCGUGGUGAGGAGCUUGCACAUGUGGCACAGAGACGGUGCGCUUGUGAUUAGGUGGCCUGAGGGAAGGAGUACUGUGGCUGUGGGUGUUGGGCUCUGCUCCUCAGAAGACCCCAGAGGGCAGGUGGCUGAGCAGAUCUCCAGAGCUGGAGUGCCCAAGUGGAUUCUGGGGUCAGGAAAGGAAGUGAUAUGAUUGGGGGCCACAGUGGGACACUUGAGCCAUGUGUCCAAAGAGCCUCUGCACUCACAGAGCCCUUUAUCUUGUGGGGCAGAACACUCCCCCACCAUGAGGACUCUUCUGCACAUUUCAG